Molecule: ribosomal RNA, 924 nt
Filed under: Kriegeria eriophori
Lineage: Eukaryota; Fungi; Basidiomycota; Microbotryomycetes; Kriegeriales; Kriegeriaceae
Description: LSU rRNA
Rfam family: Eukaryotic large subunit ribosomal RNA
Source: RNAcentral
GCAUAUCAAUAAGCGGAGGAAAAGAAACUAACAAGGAUUCCCCUAGUAACGGCGAGUGAAGCGGGAAGAGCUCAAAUUUGUAAUCUGGCACUUUCAGUGUCCGAGUUGUAAUCUCGAGAAGUGUUUUCCGUGUCGGACCGCAUAUAAGUCUGUUGGAAUACAGCGUCAUAGUGGUGAGAACCCCGUAACUGAUGCGGAUGCCCGGUGCUUUGUGAUACACUUUCGAAGAGUCGAGUUGUUUGGGAAUGCAGCUCAAAUUGGGUGGUAAAUUCCAUCUAAAGCUAAAUAUUGGCGAGAGACCGAUAGCGAACAAGUACCGUGAGGGAAAGAUGAAAAGCACUUUGGAAAGAGAGUUAACAGUACGUGAAAUUGUUGGAAGGGAAACGCUUGAAGUCAGACUUGCUAUUUGGAAUUCAGCCGCAAGGUGUAUUUUUCAAUUUGCAGGCCAGCAUCAGUUUUUGGGGGUGGAAAAGGGUAGAGAGAAGGUAGCAGUUUAGGCUGUGUUAUAGCUCUUUGCUGGAUUCAUCUUUAGGGACUGAGGAACGCAGUACGCUUUUUGCAAGGCUUUAGAGCUUUUCGUACUUAGGAUGCUGGUGGAAUGGCUUUAAACGACCCGUCUUGAAACACGGACCAAGGAGUCUAACAUGCUUGCGAGUGUUUGGGUGUUAAACCCGGACGCGCAAUGAAAGUGAAUGGAGGUGGGAAGCGCAAGCUGCACCAUCGACCGAUCUGGAUUUUUUAAGAUGGAUUUGAGUAAGAGCAAUUAUGUUGGGACCCGAAAGAUAGUGAACUAUGCCUGAAUAGGGCGAAGCCAGAGGAAACUCUGGUGGAGGCUCGUAGCGGUUCUGACGUGCAAAUCGAUCGUCAAAUUUGGGUAUAGGGGCGAAAGACUAAUCGAACUAUCUAGUAGCUGGUUCCUGCCGA